CGGUCCAGACUCCUACGGGAGGCAGCAGUGGGGAAUAUUGCACAAUGGGCGCAAGCCUGAUGCAGCCAUGCCGCGUGUGUGAAGAAGGCCUUCGGGUUGUAAAGCACUUUCAGCGGGGAGGAAGGCGUUAAGGUUAAUAACCUUGGCGAUUGACGUUACCCGCAGAAGAAGCACCGGCUAACUCCGUGCCAGCAGCCGCGGUAAUACGGAGGGUGCAAGCGUUAAUCGGAAUUACUGGGCGUAAAGCGCACGCAGGC
RNAcentral lists this ribosomal RNA (257 nucleotides) under Klebsiella pneumoniae. Its description in RNAcentral is "partial 16S ribosomal RNA". It matches the Rfam family "Bacterial small subunit ribosomal RNA", at positions 327 to 576 of the family's 1533-position model. The record is from RNAcentral. Lineage: Bacteria; Pseudomonadati; Pseudomonadota; Gammaproteobacteria; Enterobacterales; Enterobacteriaceae.